Molecule: ribosomal RNA, 255 nt
Filed under: Triticum aestivum (bread wheat)
Lineage: Eukaryota; Viridiplantae; Streptophyta; Magnoliopsida; Poales; Poaceae
Description: partial small subunit ribosomal RNA
Source: RNAcentral
AUGCGGGUACUCGCUUAUGGCAUACCCGCGGAUUAUACCGAUGAGUAUCUUCGCAUUGGGCAAGAUACAACCACGGAGUUAGUCCGUAGGUUUGCCAAGUUGGUCAUUCGACUGUACGAUGAGCAGUAUCUUCAGGCACCAAACGAGGAAGAUACAAAGAGAUUAAUGGAAAUGAAUGAAAAAAGGGGAUGGUCGGGGAUGCUAGGUAGUCUUGAUUGCAUGCAUUGGAGGUGGAAAAAUUGCCCAAAGGCAUGA